UAUCAAUGGACGCCGACCACAUCUACCCUUUUGGCGUAGAAAAAUCAAGCCUCCAUCGUGCGCUAAUGUGUAUUUGGCAGUUGUCUGCCCCAGUCCGCCUGAAUCGGCAAGUUUACGACUUGCUCUCAAUAACGAAAGAAAGCAUUUGGCAUAUAUAUGGCCGUAGCCUCCUGUCACUCUCGACAUUCCCAUCGACACGGUUCAGCUCGUCGCGAAGCUCUUGACACAACAAUGUGAACUACUCAGCUCAUUCAAUAACUGCACGCAAGCCAGUUGACCCCGCUACGAACGCAGAAUGAACCUUGCUAUCACAACAUUGAGAUGAAAUGAAAGUUAGUUAAAGCUCAUCAGCGUGGUGGUGACGCAGGCAAUCGUUUACGGUGCAUAUAUUGUGGGACGACUGUUGAAAAUCCUCCUACUGUCCCGAUCUGCAGCCGGGCUAGCCGUAUUUCCUGGCUUUCCCAUUCGACAGUGACAUAUCCGCAUCUAGAUUGAGUUGAUUUAACAUAUCUGGAAGCAUGAAUGAAACAGGUUUACUCCAUGUAGACGUAGUCACAAGUGGCUCACUUGCUAAUCGGCUUCGAAGGAGUGUUUUCUCUCCAAAAAGACUCUCGUGAAAUGCUGUGGCUUUCAUAUUCGUGGUCUGCAGCAAUUUAAAGAAAAAUCUCAUCUGGAGCUCGAGACGUGUCAGCCCCUUACAGUGUGAGGCUCGGUUUUGCUCUGAAAUCUACUGGGACGCCUCCGCGAUUUCGGCGGACGCACCCUUCGUUUUCCUUGCGUCGUCUUUAACGCUCCAGAAGAACAAUCCGCUUUGCGAGUGGACUUAGUGAGGUCGACAUGAGAACAACUCUGCGGGAAGACACAAUGGGGGAACGUCAACCAUACCUUUUUCAAGGUUUGCUUCGGUGCAGAGUCCCCCAGUUCCGUUGUCCUGGCCUUCUUCACCAACACUGUUUUCGUCGAGUGGUUUUUCCUUUUCUCGUGGCAGUGUACAGAGGUGCAAGAUGGUGCCACCACUUCAGUCCUCGUAGCGGCACGCGUUGGCUGCCUAUUGACUCCUGCCUUAGACUGCACUUUUCUGAUCCAACCCCUGGAUUGUUUGACCGAGCUGCCCUUCCGCCCGUCGCGACUUGUGUUGCGUCUGGAUCUAUUAUUGGCGCAGCAGCGCGCAUCCACUGAUAAAGCA
This 1186-nucleotide long non-coding RNA is filed under the name Toxoplasma gondii VEG. Lineage: Eukaryota; Apicomplexa; Conoidasida; Eucoccidiorida; Sarcocystidae. The record is from RNAcentral.